UAAUACGGAGGAUCCAAGCGUUAUCCGGAUUUAUUGGGUUUAAAGGGUGCGUAGGCGGCCUGUUAAGUCAGGGGUGAAAGACGGUAGCUCAACUAUCGCAGUGCCUUUGAUACUGACGGGCUUGAAUGUACUUGAGGUAGGCGGAAUGUGACAAGUAGCGGUGAAAUGCAUAGAUAUGUCACAGAACACCAAUUGCGAAGGCAGCUUACUAAAGUAUGAUUGACGCUGAGGCACGAAAGCGUGGGGAUCAAACAGGAUUAGAUACCCUGGUAGUCCACGCCCUAAACGAUGAAUACUCGAUGUUGGCGAUAUACAGUCAGCGUCAAAGCGAAAGCGUUAAGUAUUCCACCUGGGGAGUACGCCCGCAAGGGUG
RNAcentral lists this ribosomal RNA (373 nucleotides) under uncultured bacterium. RNAcentral's name for it is "bacterial SSU rRNA". It matches the Rfam family "Bacterial small subunit ribosomal RNA", at positions 521 to 896 of the family's 1533-position model. The record is from RNAcentral.